CUGAUCGAUGUUUGCAAUUAUCUGCUCGUAACAAGUCUCGAUGUAACUACUAAAAGACAUCGACAACUGAUAAUUAAUUCGAUUGGCAGCCAGUCUGUUGGAAUAGUAACGUAAUACGCAAUUUACUUGGUGGCCGCUUCAGGGUUCUUCGAGUUCUUCGUAUCGCCGACCCAGAUCAGACCAUAAUCGGCCAAGAACUUCUGCAAAACGAGGACAAGGUCAUCUUCGUCGUCUACUACAUACGUCGAUGUCGAAGAAAUUCGCCUUAAUCUGCGAAUGGAAAAGACACGCGAAGCUCUAUUAACCUCUUAGCCGUGAUCUCACCUUUCUUUUGCAAUUCGAGUGACUCCGGUGAGUAUGCCGUUUAAGUAUCGUGCAUUUAUUCGAUUUGGUAGAGCGUGUGCAGAAGUUUAGGGUACUUGUGUUUGCUGAUGGGACUCGGAUGGACGCCUGAAGGACACUUUGCAAGUUUCUUUCGUGGGUGCCCAGAAUUGGUCGGUUGAUUCAUUGUGAGCACGUUGUCGUUGGACACGUGUUUUCACGACAGCUACAUUGAAAAUUUUUUCGAAACUUUCUAAACGUCGGCUACCGACGUCGCAUUUGUGAAACACUAGGUAAGGACGAGAUCGGGCAUGAACACUGCGAUUUAUGGCGACACACAGCCGAAGGAACAAUCGGUGUGAAAUUGGUUUCGAUUACGGUGUGUCUGUAUCGCAAGUCCAAACGAAUAUCUAUGUUAGCAUUUUUACAGUACUGGAUAACCUUGGCGAAAAAAUUGUAUUUCACUGAGAAAACAAUGUUCUUCAUAGUACGAGAUUCGAGAAAUAUUGUGCUUUGAAGAUAUUUGUCGACGUAUCUGUUAAAUUGAUCAUUCUUGGUAAUCCGACCUGGUGAUGCAUUUAAUAAAAAUAAAACGGUUCAAAUCAGUGAAAGUCGAGACCUUCAUAAUGCCAAGCUAGAUUUAACCUACUUACAAUUAGAACGUAUGCACGAAUAAAUAAUGCACAUGUCAAAAGAGUUUUUGUUAGCACGUCCAUCAUGCAUGUAUUAUUCAAAUUUGUUGCGCAAACUAGAGUAGAAAGAGAUGUUUUGCGUAACCAAACAAAUACGAAGAAUGUUUAGAUGAACAGUUUUUAAGAGAUCCACGAAAUUAAUCGCUUCCACUGAAAUUUCGGAAUGGCUCGAAUAAGAAAUUUUGAAUAAAAUUACAUAAAAUGUUUUGAA
Molecule: long non-coding RNA, 1224 nt
Organism: Megalopta genalis
Lineage: Eukaryota; Metazoa; Arthropoda; Insecta; Hymenoptera; Halictidae
Source: RefSeq, a predicted model, not a curated record